RNAcentral lists this ribosomal RNA (333 nucleotides) under Triticum aestivum (bread wheat). Its description in RNAcentral is "partial small subunit ribosomal RNA". The record is from RNAcentral. Lineage: Eukaryota; Viridiplantae; Streptophyta; Magnoliopsida; Poales; Poaceae.
AUGCUAAUCAUCCCACUCAGUCUCCCCGUCAUGUCCUGGAACAUGAACGCAUACAAUCGAAACUCCUGGGCAGCCGUCGACGGCAUCCCCAGGGACAUCCCAUUGCUGGAUUUGACCAAAGUGUUCCCAGCUUCAGGGCCACUGUCAAAUCGUCUUGUCGUCGCCAAUCUUAGGCUGGAGAAAACCGAAUGUUUAUUACUCCCAACCAUUAAUGAAGGAAAAAAACAGAUGAAUCAUGAACUUCUAAGGCAAAUGAGUAAGAUCUUUGGGGCUGAUGGGAUAACACUGGAGGCUGUAGCACCCAGGGAGUCGGAUCCGGUAAUAACACUUUAA